CCUCGGCUGUCGAUAAAGUAGUACUGCACGCGUAAGGCGCACGCAUGCGCACUAGUUUUUCCAUGCUCACUGCUGCCCUCGGGUGUCGACACGCCAGUACUGCAGCCACGACUGCCCUCCCCCGCGUACAAAGAAUACUGCAGCCAGCCGGCGCGCACCGCCGAUCGCUGUGUUCGCCGUUACUCUCCGGUGCUCCGGGAACGGGGCCCCGGUUCCUCCCCAGYGCGGGCCGGGGCGCGCGCUCGCCCCUGCAGACGCAGCCCGGAGGAACGGGGAGGCAGGCGAGCCCCGGAGUGGGCUUGUGGCGCGGCGUCCGCGGGAGGACGGCUCCUGUGGCGGCAGGCACACCCGAGAGUGCUGAUUGAUUGCCAUGGCUGAAGUUGAAGAGACCAGAAAAACGUCAGCAAGCUGAAGUGAUGAAAUCAAACGGAACCGACUGAGAGCUGUCUCCAUCGCCCAAAAAGGGAAAGCCCGUUCCUCCUGGUGAGGAAAGAUCACCAUUAAUAGCGAUCGGAAUAAUAGAUCACCAACAUAUAAGGUCUGAAGGUCUGUACGCAUUACGAAAAGUAUGCUACGUACGUAUAUUUCUGCGCGUGUGACUUUAUGUGUAUACGAGGCAUCAUGCUUUAAGAGCUACAAGACAGCAAACUAUUAUCUUGGGGGAAUGGUGGUCAAGUGGCCAGAGUCUCUGAAGAGACAGAGAGACAGAAGUGUCCGAACUGUAAAAUUAAGAGAUCGCUUUCAGGAAGGCUUGGUUAGCACGCCCCCAGGUUAAUUAAUCCUCACAUCCCCUUUGGGGCCACAACMGAAAUUCUCCAGCUGCGAGAAAGACUGUUUAGCAGCAGUCUGGUCUGUAACUGUCUUUGAGACUUUUCCCUUUGAGAGCACCGAGGCAAUCCCAUCUGCUCAAUUCCCUCUGUAGUAGCUAAUGUCAGGGAAGCAAAUAGACAGCGGAGUAUCAUCUAUCCAAGUGGCACAGGGGGCACUAAUCUUAACGAGCGGGGUGGGGGGGUUACUGUGCAAACGUUACAAGAAGUGGAUCUUCUUGUGCGGGUCUGAAUUGACAGAGCACGGUUGUGCCAAAAACGUGGACGUGGAAGGUUUCCGAAAGAUUAAUCUCUAGUGGCUACUUAGUCUAACUUCCCCUUCACAGCAAGCCCRACUGUUGACAUAGCUUCCAAAAGAGGGGUUGGGGGAAGCAGUAUUUGUGGCUUGUGUAUUCUCGUUUGCCUUGCUUGUGUGCGUGUAUAGAGAUCUGUUUUUUGUGCUUAUAAACAACUUUGAAUUCUUAUGAUUCUCUGCAGAGCUUUGAAUCGUUUUUUUGUUUUGUGCUUUGCUUUAUACUUUUGUAGGGCGAUGGAUUUU
RNAcentral lists this long non-coding RNA (1365 nucleotides) under Apteryx rowi (Okarito brown kiwi). RNAcentral describes it as "lncRNA (ENSARWG00000014098.1)". The record is from RNAcentral. Lineage: Eukaryota; Metazoa; Chordata; Aves; Apterygiformes; Apterygidae.